Grus americana (Whooping crane) is the source of this 446-nucleotide long non-coding RNA. RefSeq lists it as uncharacterized. The transcript is spliced from 4 exons. NCBI's taxonomy places the organism in Eukaryota, Metazoa, Chordata, Aves, Gruiformes, Gruidae. The record is from RefSeq and is a predicted model, not a curated record.
CAGGGUCCCCCUUCGAAGAGGAACCAACCGCUCUUCCUCACCUUCAUCAUCGCAUCCUCGCGGGGAGGCGGAAAGUUGGAUCUUCCCCUUCCCGAAAGGUUAUAAUGCAUUUCUACAAAAUGUUUGAACUCACCCCAAAACACAACGGUCCAGACCCGCAGCGGAACAUCACCUUUUCCCCGACACGGGCAGCCAUCCAUGGCGCUUUGGCUGCAGAAGAAAGAUGGGAAAAAAAAAAAAAAAAGACAAACACAGACGACCCCACGGGACCGACCCACCCAGUGCUUUGACAUCAUUUUUGGCGCGAAAAAAAGGUUUCCACCUCAAAAAUCGAACUUACAACCAGCAGUCGUUUCUGUUGGCGACCUUGGGUACCUCGGUGGGGACCCCUGUCACCUUAAAAUCAUCCACCUGGAAGACCCAACGGCCCGGGACGUUGACAUUGG